Molecule: ribosomal RNA, 497 nt
Filed under: uncultured bacterium
Lineage: Bacteria
Description: partial 16S ribosomal RNA
Rfam family: Bacterial small subunit ribosomal RNA
Source: RNAcentral
GAUGAACGCUGGCGGCGUGCCUAAUACAUGCAAGUCGAGCGAACAGACGAGGAGCUUGCUCCUUCGACGUUAGCGGCGGACGGGUGAGUAACACGUAGGUAACCUACCUAUAAGACUGGGAUAACUUCGGGAAACCGGAGCUAAUACCGGAUAAUAUUUCGAACCGCAUGGUUCGAUAGUGAAAGAUGGCUUUGCUAUCACUUAUAGAUGGACCUGCUCCGUAUUAGCUAGUUGGUAAGGUAACGGCUUACCAAGGCAACGAUACGUAGCCGACCUGAGAGGGUGAUCGGCCACACUGGAACUGAGACACGGUCCAGACUCCUACGGGAGGCAGCAGUAGGGAAUCUUCCGCAAGGGGCGAAAGCCUGACGGAGAAACGCCGCGUGAGUGAUGAAGGUCUUCGGAUCGUAAAACUCUGUUAUUAGGGAAGAACAAACGUGUAAGUAACUGUGCACGUCUUGACGGUACCUAAUCAGAAAGCCACGGCUAACUACGUG